Molecule: long non-coding RNA, 678 nt
Organism: Pundamilia nyererei
Lineage: Eukaryota; Metazoa; Chordata; Actinopteri; Cichliformes; Cichlidae
Exons: 4
Source: RefSeq, a predicted model, not a curated record
AGGAAGACGAGAGACAGCAACACCAAAAGUACACGUCCAUAACUGCUCAUAACUGUCAGGGACCCUGAGUCUGACAGUUACUUGUUGAAGGUCCAAACUGAAUUCAGAUGUUCCUGUGGAAACACAGUAUGAUGAUGUCACAGAGGCGACAGACAACUCAAACAAACUCACCCAUAGUGCACUGAGUUUUCUUAACAAGGCCCGUGUCUCUCCCAGCAACGCCUCCUGUAGUAACACCGAUGAAGUUGUCUCCUCCGUGUCUCGAAAAGUGCACUUUAAGGACUUUAGUCCAGUUUCUACAUGUAAAGCCUCAAACUACCAGAACCUUAAUGGAGCCACCAGAGACCAGGACCAAAUCUACUCCACACUCAAAAUCACUGACCAGACUCUCCAGACUCAGAGCUGAACAUGAACAUCGAAAGGACAAUAAAAAUCAAAUAAAAUUAAUAUUUCUAGUCUGGGUUAAAAGCCAAGCCAAAAAAAGAUGAUGCAGUGAGUCAGAGUAGCGUCCAGUCAUAAAGCUGGCCAAGCUAGUUUUUGCAUAUUUGUGAAGAAUUCAUGUAUCUGUCAUAUUAGCAGUCAAAACAAAAUCUUUUUAAAAGCACAGAGAAGAUUGUGGUGCAUACAUCAUACAUUUUAUGUGUGGUUGAUCUUCAGAAAAACUCCUUUUACUCAACA